This 253-nucleotide ribosomal RNA is filed under the name uncultured bacterium. RNAcentral's name for it is "partial 16S ribosomal RNA". It matches the Rfam family "Bacterial small subunit ribosomal RNA", at positions 524 to 776 of the family's 1533-position model. The record is from RNAcentral.
UACGAAGGGGGCUAGCGUUGCUCGGAAUGACUGGGCGUAAAGGGCGCGUAGGCGGAUGGUACAGUCAGAUGUGAAAUUCCUGGGCUUAACCUGGGGGCUGCAUUUGAUACGUAUUGCCUAGAGUGAGGAAGAGGGUCGUGGAAUUCCCAGUGUAGAGGUGAAAUUCGUAGAUAUUGGGAAGAACACCGGUGGCGAAGGCGGCGACCUGGUCCUUUACUGACGCUGAGGCGCGAAAGCGUGGGGAGCAAACAGG